RNAcentral lists this long non-coding RNA (1188 nucleotides) under Anas platyrhynchos platyrhynchos (common mallard). RNAcentral's name for it is "lncRNA (ENSAPLG00000028309.1)". The record is from RNAcentral. Lineage: Eukaryota; Metazoa; Chordata; Aves; Anseriformes; Anatidae.
AUGUUUUCUGCAAUGACGGAGAUGCUCAGCCACAUGGUGGAGGGCAGCACCACCGACAAUGGGGAAAUGCAACACGACCCUGUUUUUUUCAUCCACAACUGCGUAGGACUGAACCCAGUAAUUCACCAGGUCAUCUGCAAUCAUAUGCUCUCACUGCACAGUGAGAUAGGAAAAGGCAGACUACUUCAAGAAUACAAUCUCUCAAAAUGGUACUUCCAAGGACUAUUCUACAAAUUGGUAAGGACAUGUACUCAAAAGGUACAGGUGCAGAAUGGCUGAGCUGAGGAUAAAGGACAAGCACAUGGCAACGUGGCACCACCUUCUGCUUCUGCAGUGGGAAGUGAUGCAGCCUUGAAGGAAUUUCCAGGACAUAUGUUCCAGCUGCAUCUGCCUCCUUGUCCUCCGUUUCCCUGUCUUCCGUUUCAGAAUUUUGUUCCAGACUUCAAUCCAGUCCAACACACUGCUAAUCUCCUCUUUAAUAUCCUCUGUGCUUUAAAGCAGUAGUUCUGAGACCUUCUCAAAAGAUAGGGAAAUGCCAUAAGCCCCAUUUUACAAAUGGGAAACAGCAGCUGAAGCACGAGCAGAAGUAAUCUGCUGCAGAACUGGGAUUUCAACACAUUUCUAAGAACGGAGUGAAUCAGGCAGUAACCGCAAAAUUACCUUUCAUCUUGGAAUUCUACUGUCUGGACUCCUGCCCUAUCUUGAGUGAAAUGGAUGUAAUCUUUAGAGUUUUAAGGAUGUGAAUCUUCUGAGGUUCAAACAUAUCUCCAUUUGAAAUGUAGGCUAUCGGUGUCCCCACAUUUUGUUUUGUUUUGUUUACUGAAUUAGGAUCAGUCACUGAAUGCCAGUUAGUCUUAAUUUUGCAUUAGAUCACCUCCUCUUGUAAGGUUUUAUUACUUCUACUUCAGAAGAUAUCAGCUGGACAUAAUGGUUACUCCUUCUUCCUGGUGAUGGUUGUAAUAUGGGACUCAAUAUUUUCAUCUAUUGUGUCUGCAGUGGAGAACAGUGAGAUAUUUGAGAUCAACAGUAGUUGUUUCCCAGAUGUUAUGAAUAUCUUAGUCUUCUUUAAGUAAUUUUCUAAGUACCUAGAGUUUUUAUGAUAACUUCAUGGGUAAGACGAUAUGAGUAUAGCAUUGGACAGGAGACUAGGACCAAACUGGUACAAAAUAAACUGAGAUGGAUGCUUCA